AGUGAACGCUGGCGGCGUGCUUAACACAUGCAAGUCGAACGAGAACGGGUUAUAGCUUGCUAUAAUUGUCAGCUAAGUGGCGCACGGGUGAGUAAUGUAUAGGUAAUAUGCCUCUUACUAAGGGAUAACAAAUGGAAACGUUUGCUAAUACCUUAUACUCCUUAUUAACAGAAGUUAAUAAGGGAAAGAUUUAUUGGUAAGAGAUUAGCCUGUAUUGUAUCAGUUAGUUGGUGGGGUAAUGGCUUACCAAGACUAUGACACAUAACUGGUUUGAGAGGAUGAUCAGUCACACUGGAACUAGGACACGGUCCAGACUCCUACGGGAGGCAGCAGUGGGGAAUAUUGCACAAUGGACGAAAGUCUGAUGCAGCAACGCCGCGUGGAGGAUGACACAUUUCGGUGCGUAAACUCCUUUUAUAUGAGAAGAUAAUGACGGUAUUAUAUGAAUAAGCACCGGCUAACUCCGUGCCAGCCGCCGCCGUAA
RNAcentral lists this ribosomal RNA (484 nucleotides) under uncultured bacterium. RNAcentral describes it as "partial 16S ribosomal RNA". It matches the Rfam family "Bacterial small subunit ribosomal RNA", at positions 29 to 523 of the family's 1533-position model. The record is from RNAcentral.